This 228-nucleotide ribosomal RNA is filed under the name uncultured bacterium. RNAcentral's name for it is "partial 16S ribosomal RNA". It matches the Rfam family "Bacterial small subunit ribosomal RNA", at positions 103 to 334 of the family's 1533-position model. The record is from RNAcentral.
CGGGUGAGUAAUGUCUGGGAAACUGCCUGAUGGAGGGGGAUAACUGCUGGAAACGGUAGCUAAUACCGCAUAACGUCGCAAGACCAAAGAGGGGGACCUUCGGGCCUCUUGCCAUCGGAUGUGCCCAGAUGGGAUUAGCUAGUAGGUGGGGUAACGGCUCACCUAGGCGACGAUCCCUAGCUGGUCUGAGAGGAUGGCUAGCCACACUGGGACUGAGACACGGUCCAG